Molecule: long non-coding RNA, 1012 nt
Organism: Tarenaya hassleriana
Lineage: Eukaryota; Viridiplantae; Streptophyta; Magnoliopsida; Brassicales; Cleomaceae
Exons: 5
Source: RefSeq, a predicted model, not a curated record
UCGGCCCUUUGGUACACCGGAAGUUAAUUUGGAGAUGGAGAUCGGCACUGAAACGGAGGUGGAUCUAUCGGCGGCGCCGGCGAAGGCGGAAUCGGAGACUGUAUCGGAAGCAUAUCCACCAUCCACGUAUCAGCUAGAGGAGGGAGACCGCCGCAGAAGAUCGGAGUCGCCGUCGUUGAAGAAGUGGGGAUAUGUUGAGAGCUCUUGAGACUGUCGAGAAGAAUUCGCAAGCGAUCGCGGAGAGCUUCUCGUCUCUCUUUGUUUCCCUUCGAUCGGCUUUCUCUGAGGCCACAAGUACCUCAGUUGUUCACAUGCAUUGCUUUGGCGAGGAAGCAGGACGACUUCUGGAAACCCGGAAGUGAAGUUCUCUAGUUGCAGCCACCAAGGGCAAUCGCUACAUUAAUCCUUGCCUCAGCAUUGAUUUCCAUCCAGCAUAUAAAGGAAGCAGAUACACUACUUGAGGUGUCUGUGAAGAAGAAAGAAGAACAAAGCUGCGAGAAGAAAAAGAAGCUCGGCGGAAGAGGCUGAGAAUAAGAGAAAAGAAGAAGCUGACAUGAAAAGCAAAGUUGGAUGAGAUUGCGGAGAAGCAGAGGCAAAGAGAACUGGAAGCCAGAGGAGAAGGAUAGGAUUAGACGAAGAAGCUCUGUUGAAACAAACCGAGUCUCCACCUUCUCGUCUGCCAACGGGACCGGGGAUGAUCACUGGGCAAGCAGAGGACUGCCAUCUCGGAGACCUGACCGGAGGACCAGCAGCAGGGAAAGAACUGCUGCCCCUCCUCCGGCCCCAAGGUGACCGCUGGGGCGAACACCAGAAGUGACACCUGGCGCAGUGACUGAUGACCGUCGAUUAUAUAACACACGAGACAGUUUUGUCUUCGAAAUGGGGUUCUUCCUCUUGUUUUGGCACUGAAGAUCUUUGUUUUGUUACUACAUAUGAACCAUGUCUUAGGAUCAUCAUCAUCAUCAUCAUCAUCAUGAUGUGGAAACAGUGAGAGUCAAAAGGCCAUUCAUAA